Molecule: ribosomal RNA, 253 nt
Filed under: uncultured bacterium
Lineage: Bacteria
Description: partial 16S ribosomal RNA
Rfam family: Bacterial small subunit ribosomal RNA
Source: RNAcentral
UACGGAGGGGGCUAGCGUUGUUCGGAAUUACUGGGCGUAAAGCGCACGUAGGCGGCUUUGUAAGUUAGAGGUGAAAGCCCAGAGCUCAACUCUGGAACUGCCUUUAAGACUGCAUCGCUUGAAUCAUGGAGAGGGUAGUGGAAUUCCCAGUGUAGCGGUGAAAUGCGUAGAUACUGGGAGGAACACCGGUGGCGAAGGCGGCUACCUGGACAGGUACUGACGCUGAGGCGCGAAAGCGUGGGGAGCAAACAGG